This 61-nucleotide ribosomal RNA is filed under the name Geobacillus sp. Manikaran-105. RNAcentral describes it as "partial 16S ribosomal RNA". It matches the Rfam family "Bacterial small subunit ribosomal RNA", at positions 1 to 59 of the family's 1533-position model. Lineage: Bacteria; Bacillati; Bacillota; Bacilli; Caryophanales; Anoxybacillaceae. The record is from RNAcentral.
UUUCUUUGGAGAGUUUGAUCCUGGCUCAGGACGAACGCUGGCGGCGUGCCUAAUACAUGCA